This 235-nucleotide ribosomal RNA is filed under the name uncultured Desulfobacterium sp. RNAcentral's name for it is "partial 16S ribosomal RNA". It matches the Rfam family "Bacterial small subunit ribosomal RNA", at positions 1146 to 1382 of the family's 1533-position model. Lineage: Bacteria; Pseudomonadati; Thermodesulfobacteriota; Desulfobacteria; Desulfobacterales; Desulfobacteriaceae. The record is from RNAcentral.
GGACUGCCGGCGACAAGUCGGAGAAGUGGGGAUGACGUCAAAUCAUCAUGCCCCUUAUGACCUGGGCUACACACGUGCUACAAUGGGCGGUACAAAGGGUAGCGAUGCCGCGAGGCGAAGCCAAUCCCAAAAAGCCGUCCUCAGUUCGGAUUGGAGUCUGCAACUCGACUCCAUGAAGCCGGAAUCGCUAGUAAUCGCGGAUCAGCAUGCCGCGGUGAAUACGUUCCCGGGCCUU